UAGGGAAUCUUCGGCAAUGGGGGGAACCCUGACCGAGCAACGCCGCGUGAGUGAAGAAGGUUUUCGGAUCGUAAAGCUCUGUUGUUAAGGAAGAACGAGUGUGAGAAUGGAAAGUUCAUGCUGUGACGGUACUUAACCAGAAAGGGACGGCUAACUACGUGCCAGCAGCCGCGGUAAUACGUAGGUCCCGAGCGUUGUCCGGAUUUAUUGGGCGUAAAGCGAGCGCAGGCGGUUAGAAAAGUCUGAAGUGAAAGGCAGUGGCUCAACCAUUGUAGGCUUUGGAAACUGUUUAACUUGAGUGCAGAAGGGGAGAGUGGAAUUCCAUGUGUAGCGGUGAAAUGCGUAGAUAUAUGGAGGAACACCAGUGGCGAAGGCGACUCUCUGGUCUGUAACUGACGCUGAGGUUCGAAAGCGUGGGUAGCAAACAGG
Molecule: ribosomal RNA, 429 nt
Filed under: Bacteroidota bacterium
Lineage: Bacteria; Pseudomonadati; Bacteroidota
Description: Bacteroidetes bacterium partial 16S ribosomal RNA
Rfam family: Bacterial small subunit ribosomal RNA
Source: RNAcentral